This 2976-nucleotide ribosomal RNA is filed under the name Chloroflexota bacterium. RNAcentral's name for it is "Chloroflexi bacterium 23S ribosomal RNA". It matches the Rfam family "Bacterial large subunit ribosomal RNA". Lineage: Bacteria; Bacillati; Chloroflexota. The record is from RNAcentral.
GGGGAAGGUGCGAAGGGCUCACGGAGGAUGCCUAGGCGCUUGGAGCCGAUGAAGGGCGUGGCCAGACGACGAUAUGCCCGGGUGAGUGGUCAAGCACGCUAAGCCCGGGAUGCCCGAAUGGGGAAACCCGGCAGGGUGUUUAAGCCCUGUCAUCUCUGGGGAAGGGCCCAGAGAGGGGAACCGGGGGAACUGAAACAUCUCAGUACCCUGAGGAAAAGGAAGCAACCGCGAUACCCCAAGUAGCGGCGAGCGAACGGGGUGUCGCCCAAACCGCAUGGACCUAACGGCCUGAGAGCUUAUGUCUGUGCGGGGUUGUGGGGCACUCUUGGGACGGUCUCAGACGUCCCAGGGCGCAGGGGUUCGGUCAGCCGAAAGACCCUGGAAUGGGCUGCCAGAGACGGUGAUAGCCCGGUAGGUGAAGGCUGGACCCCGGCCCGGAGUGUUCCCGAGUACCACGGGGCACGAGGAAUCCCGUGGGAAGCUGGGGGGACCACCCUCCAAGGCGAAAUACUCCAGGCGACCGAUAGUGAACCAGUACCGUGAGGGAAAGGUGAAAAGCACCCCGAAAGGGGGGUAAAAAGACCUGAAACCGUGAGCCUACAGACAGUCAGAGCCCUUCUUAGGAAGGGUGAUGGCGUGCUUAUUGAAGAAUGAUCCGGGGAGUUUUUAGGAGCGGCAAGGUUAAGAGAACGCAAUCUCGGAGCCGUAGGGAAACCGAGUCUGAAUAGGGCGUAGAGUCGCUUUUAAAAGACCCGAAACCGAGCGACCUACCCUUGGCCAGGGUGAAGGUUCACUAACCUGAACUGGAAGCCCGAACCCGUGAUCGGGGCAAAGAUCUGGGAUGAGCUGAGGGUAGCGGUGAAAUGCCAAUCGAGCUCGGAGAUAGCUGGUUCUCCCCGAAAUGCCUUUAGGGGCAGCCCUGCGAUUAGGCUGCCGGAGGUAGGGCUCUGGAUGGGUUAGGGGGCGCGAGCUUACCGACCCCAACCAAACCCCCAAUGCCGGUAGACCAUGCGCAGGAGUGAGACGGUGAAGGAUAAGCUCCAUCGUCGAGAGGGCAACAGCCCAGACCGCCGGCUAAGGCCCCUAAGUGCGGACUCAGUGUGCAAGGAUGUGGAGUUCCCCAGACAGCCGGGAGGUUGGCUUAGAAGCAGCCAUCCUUCAAAGAGUGCGUAAUAGCUCACCGGUCGAGGGGUUCUGCGCCGACAAUGUCACGGGGCUAAGUCCGCCGCCGAAGCCGCGGACUCGGUCAUAUGACCGAGUGGUAGGGGAGCGUCCCCGUCAGCGCUGAAGUUCAGACGGCAAGUCUGGGUGGAGCGGCGGGGGGGGAGAAUCCCGGGAUGAGUAGCGCCAACCCUGGUGAAAACCCAGGGCGCCGAAAGCCCAAGGUUUCCUACGGAACGUCAGACGGCGUAGGGUAAGUCGGGACCUAAGCCAAAGCCGCAAGGCGUAGGCGAUGGACAGCUGGUCAACAUUCCAGCACCGCCCAGACCUCGUUGAUCUACGGGGGGACGGGGAAGGCUAGGGGGAGCGCCCCCAUCGGACAUGGGGCGUGGGCCCGUGUAGGUCUAUGACCGCCGGAGGCAAAUCCCCGGCGCGAGACGGAGGCGGAGCCCAAAUGCCUGGCUACGGCCAAGCAAAUUCCUCUGACGCCAGGCCUCCAAGAAAAGCCUCGUAAGGAGACGUCUGGGCGCCCGUACCGCAAACCGCCACAGGUGGGCUGGGGUAAGCACCCCAAGGCGUCCGAGCGAACCUCCGCUAAGGAACUCGGCAAAAGAGCCCCGUAACUUUGGGAUAAGGGGCGCCCGCUGGCGUGUAGAGACACGCUCUCGAAGCGUCGGUGGGCCGCAGCGCAGCAUCUCUGGCGACUGUUUACCAAAAACCUAGGUCUCUGCUAAGGGGAAACCCUACGUAUAGAGACUGACGCCUGCCCAGUGCCGGAAGGUUAAAGGGAGAGGUGAGAGCUUUGAACUGAAGCCCCGGUGAACGGCGGCCGUAACUCUAACGGUCCUAAGGUAGCGAAAUCCCUUGUCGGGUAAGUUCCGACCCGCAUGAAUGGCGGAACGACUGGAGAACUGUCUCAGCGGAGGGCUCGGUGAAAUUGCAAGGCCUGUGAAGAUGCGGGCGACCCGCGGCGGGACAAAAAGACCCCGUGGAGCUUUACUGCACCCUGGCACCGGACUGGGGUCCGGGAUGUGUAGGAUAGGUGGGAGACUGGGAAGCUUCGGCGUCAGCCGGAGUGGAGUCGUUGGUGAAAUACCACCCUUCCCUGAUUUUGGCCCUCACCUCGGCACCCACCGAGGGACGCUGCCAGGCGGGUAGUUUGACUGGGGCGGUCGCCUCCUAAAAGGUAACGGAGGCGCCCCAAGGUCCCCUCAGGACGGAUGGCCAUCGUCCGGCGCGUGUAUGGGCAGAAGGGGGCUUGACUGCGAGGGAAACACCCCAAGCAGGGGCGAAAGCCGGGCCAAGUGAUCCCACGGUACCGAGUGGAAGGGCCGUGGCUUAACGGAUAAAAGCUACCCCGGGGAUAACAGGCUGAUCUUGCCCAAGAGUUCCUAUCGACGGCAAGGUUUGGCACCUCGAUGUCGACUCAUCCCAUCCUGGGGCUGAAGAAGGUCCCAAGGGUCGGGCUGUUCGCCCGUUAAAGGGGUACGUGAGUUGGGUUCAGAACGUCGUGAGACAGUUCGGUCUCUAUCUGCCGUGGGCGUAGGAGGCUUGCGGGGACCCCUCCCUAGUACGAGAGGACCGGGAGGGACGGCCCUCUGGUGUGCCGGUGGUCCUGCCAAGGGCGUAGCCGGGUAGCCAUGGCCGGCCAGGAGAAGCGCUGAAAGCAUCUAAGCGCGAAACCUUCCCCAAGACGAGGCCUCCCAUUCCAACUCGGAAGUAAGGCCGCAGGUAGACCACCUGCUUAGAGGACGGAGGUGCAAGGCAGGCAACUGCUUCAGCUGACCGUUCCUCAUCGGCCGAGGCCUUCCCCAC